GACGAACGCUGGCGGCGUGCUUAACACAUGCAAGUCGAACGGGCCUUGUCCCCUUUUUUUUUGGGGGUGGGGUUAGUGGCGAACGGGUGAGUAACACGUGAGUAACCUGCCCCUCACUUCUGGAUAACCGCUUGAAAGGGUGGCUAAUACGGGGUGUUCUGGCCUGCUCGCAUGGGCGGGUUUGGAAAGAUUCGACCGGUUUUGGUUGGUUUGGUGGGGGAUGGGCUCGCGGCCUAUCAGCUUGUUGGUGGGGUGAUGGCCUGCCAAGGCUUUGACGGGUAGCCGGCCUGAGAGGGUGGGCGGUCACACUGGGACUGAGACACGGCCCAGACUCCUACGGGAGGCAGCAGUGGGGAAUAUUGCACAAUGGGCGCAAGCCUGAUGCAGCGACGCCGCGUGAGGGAUGGAGGCCUUCGGGUUGUGAACCUCUUUCGCCAGUGAAGAAGGUCCUGCUCUUUGUGGUGGGGUUGACGGUAGCUGGGUUAAUGAAGCGCCGGCUAACUACGUG
RNAcentral lists this ribosomal RNA (508 nucleotides) under uncultured bacterium. RNAcentral describes it as "partial 16S ribosomal RNA". It matches the Rfam family "Bacterial small subunit ribosomal RNA", at positions 28 to 507 of the family's 1533-position model. The record is from RNAcentral.